Molecule: non-coding RNA, 561 nt
Filed under: Pongo abelii (Sumatran orangutan)
Lineage: Eukaryota; Metazoa; Chordata; Mammalia; Primates; Hominidae
Source: RNAcentral
AGAGCCCGCGGAGACCGAGCCCAGCGCCAGGCGACCGGUCCCCGCCGCCACCGCCCCUGCGCGGUAGAUCCACCCUGCUUAGUCCGCGCCCGAGCCCCCGUCCGUGGGGAACAGACAAGGGGUCUCCGCAGCGCCUCACAACCCCCGACCAGGUCCAGCGGCGGGGGACUCGGCCGUGGAGGGCGCUGUUCCGUCUGGAUGGCUCCCGCCAUCAGCGGGAGGCUACACCCCCUACCAGCAGGAGCAAGAGGAGCAGCGGGAGGGGAGCAGGCCGCCGUCCUGCGGCCUGGUUGAGCUCGCACUGACAAUCGCAGGCCCAGUAACCCGCAGGUCACCGCGCUCCCCACCUGCGUUGCUGACGGUGACAUCGUCGGGGGAGGGGGGCGCGCCUUCCCAGAGGCUCAGGUCGCGAGGGUAGCCGGGGUCCGGGCGCGCCGCCGCCUCGUCGUAGCGCCAGUACUGCCGGCCGCGGACCAGGUAGGUCUUCCCGUUCUGUGGCCAUGAGAACACGGCGUCCACCUCCUCUCCCGGGGGCAGCCCCAGCUCUGUGAGCGGCCGCGC